AAUCUUCUGGAGGAAGAAGAUAAAAGCAAGUAUAACAGUCAGUAUAAGCUUAUAAGAUUGAUCUACUUUCAAAUAUUAACAUAAAAAAACGGAGGAUGACAAACCUCAUCUCGAGUGUUGUCCAAUUCCAAAUCGAUGAGGUCGUCUAUAAACGGCAAGUUGAGAAAAAAUAGAUGCAGAAAAUGGGCCAAUGAUAUUGUUUGACUGUUAAAGAAAAAUCUAAUAUGCACAUAUAUUACAGAAAACAUUGAGAUGGAAGCAUUUUGCUUACCUUCCAGCCCAUUCGCCGAAGCCAUGCUUUCGGGGAAGGGAGAGAAAAACGGAUUACAACGCAUUCUGGGCAAUUUUCUAAAGAAAAAUACACCGCUGACCAGUGACUCGGCAUUUUGACUCGGACUCGGAUUUGACUCGGUUAACUCCGAGAUGACACAAGGGCACAAAACCUUGAUUCUCACCAAUAUUUAGUGAUGACUGGUGCAUUUGUGGAUUUCAAUUGCCUUCGGGAUGUCUGGGUCAGUACGCAGCUCUUACAAGCUGCAAUUUGAUUGGGCAAAUGAACAAUAUCCGCACCUCGACACAAAGAACGAGAAGAAUAGAGACAAAAGAACUCCUUUGUAGAACAAAGAUAAUAGGACACAAAGCAGCUGCGUACUUACUCGUCCGCUUACCCGAAGAAGCCAUGAAGACUGUGAUGUCCAGCUCGGGUAAGUCUGGACUAAGUUAUAAUGCUAUGAUGACGUCAUUUACUUUCUAGAAAAGCAAUGCUGUCAUAUCCAUGGUGUUGAUCCACCGAUCUGCCCUUAUCCAGCCCAUGUAGAACGAGCAUUUCCUACAUAACUUGUAUCUUGAAAUGUUACGAUUAUUCUGCCAAUCUUUUGAUAAACAUUGUAAACCAUAGUUUGCUCAUUGGGAGCCCGUGAACAAAUGCAAGGUUAUAGCCUACGUGUAGCCGCUGACUCGCGAAAAUAUAUACUUGUAGCUUUUACGCAACGGCGGCGAUAAUCGUGUUCAGUGACGUCACGGCCUUAGCAGGAAGAUACAGUACAGAUACAUUAGAGCAACUUGUUCAGCUUACAAGAGAAAUGUUCCUCAGCGAGGAUUAAAAACCCAAAAUACAACCCCUAUUGUCUAUAUAUGUUUUUGUUUAUAUUGUUUGCAUCUUGCAUCUCAUGUGUUUAUUUUUUUAUUCAAAUAGCUGCGGGAAAUUAGUAAGAUUACUUAUAAGUAAAUGGCUUGA
Long non-coding RNA from Nematostella vectensis (starlet sea anemone), 1237 nucleotides. RefSeq lists it as uncharacterized. The record is from RefSeq and is a predicted model, not a curated record. The transcript has 2 exons. Lineage: Eukaryota; Metazoa; Cnidaria; Anthozoa; Actiniaria; Edwardsiidae.